AAUGAACGCUGGCGGCAUGCCUAACACAUGCAAGUCGAACGAAGGCCCGAUUUCGGUUGGGUCCUUAGCGGCGCACGGGUGCGUAACGCGUGGGAAUCUGCCCCUCGGUUCGGAAUAACAGUUAGAAAUGACUGCUAAUACCGGAUGAUGACGUAAGACCAAAGAUUUAUCGCCGAGGGAUGAGCCCGCGUAGGAUUAGCUAGUUGGUGUGGUAAGAGCGCACCAAGGCGACGAUCCUUAGCUGGUCUGAGAGGAUGAUCAGCCACACUGGGACUGAGACACGGCCCAGACUCCUACGGGAGGCAGCAGUGGGGAAUAUUGGACAAUGGGCGAAAGCCUGAUCCAGCAAUGCCGCGUGAGUGAUGAAGGCCUUAGGGUUGUAAAGCUCUUUUACCCGGGAUGAUAAGGACAGUACCGGGAGAAUAAGCUCCGGCUAACUCCGUGCCAGCAGCCGCCGUAA
RNAcentral lists this ribosomal RNA (460 nucleotides) under uncultured bacterium. Its description in RNAcentral is "partial 16S ribosomal RNA". It matches the Rfam family "Bacterial small subunit ribosomal RNA", at positions 29 to 523 of the family's 1533-position model. The record is from RNAcentral.